CCGGAGGAAGGUGGGAUGACGUCAAGUCCUCAUGGCCUUUAUGUCUAGGGCUACACACGUACUACAAUGGCCGGUACAAAGGGCAGCCACUCAGCGAUGAGGCGCUAAUCCCAUAAAGCCGGUCUCAGUCCGGAUCGCAGUCUGCAACUCGACUGCGUGAAGUUGGAAUCGCUAGUAAUCGUAGAUCAGCAUGCUACGGUGAAUACGUUCCCGGGCCUU
RNAcentral lists this ribosomal RNA (219 nucleotides) under uncultured Desulfurivibrio sp. RNAcentral's name for it is "partial 16S ribosomal RNA". It matches the Rfam family "Bacterial small subunit ribosomal RNA", at positions 1163 to 1382 of the family's 1533-position model. The record is from RNAcentral. Lineage: Bacteria; Pseudomonadati; Thermodesulfobacteriota; Desulfobulbia; Desulfobulbales; Desulfobulbaceae.